GGCCUUUUGAUUAUGAUUUAAGGUCUUGCCUGCCCAAUGAUAUUUGAAUGGCCGCAGUAUUUUGACUGUGCAAAGGUAGCAUAAUCAUUAGUUUCUUAAUUAGAAGCUGGAAUGAAUGGUUUGAUGAGAAAUUGACUGUCUCUUUAUAAUUGUUUUAUAAUUUUAUUUUUAAGUCAAAAAGCUUAAAUUUUUUACAAAGACGAGAAGACCCUAUAGAGUUUUACAAUUUGGAGGAUAAUUUAUAUGAGGGUUUAUUAUUUAGGUUGUUUUUUAAUUUGUUUUGUUGGGGUGACAUGAAAAUUUAAUUAACUUUUCAUAGUUUUUACACUGAUGAGUGAAUUUAUGAUCCUAUUUUUUAGAUUAUAAGAUUAAAUUACCUUAGGGAUAACAGCGUAAUUCUUUUUGAAAGUUCUUAUUGAUAAGAAAGUUUGCGA
This 434-nucleotide ribosomal RNA is filed under the name Dendarus messenius. Its description in RNAcentral is "partial 16S ribosomal RNA". Lineage: Eukaryota; Metazoa; Arthropoda; Insecta; Coleoptera; Tenebrionidae. The record is from RNAcentral.